RNAcentral lists this transfer RNA (88 nucleotides) under Lachnospiraceae bacterium. RNAcentral's name for it is "tRNA-Ser". It matches the Rfam family "tRNA". From Rfam's summary of the family: Transfer RNA (tRNA) molecules are approximately 80 nucleotides in length. The record is from RNAcentral. Lineage: Bacteria; Bacillati; Bacillota; Clostridia; Lachnospirales; Lachnospiraceae.
GCAGACGUAUCGAAGUGGUCAUAACGAGCCGCACUCGAAAUGCGGUCGCCGGGCAACUGGCGCGUGGGUUCGAAUCCCACCGUCUGCG